Molecule: long non-coding RNA, 2099 nt
Filed under: Calidris pygmaea (Spoon-billed sandpiper)
Lineage: Eukaryota; Metazoa; Chordata; Aves; Charadriiformes; Scolopacidae
Description: lncRNA (ENSCPGG00000010524.1)
Source: RNAcentral
GGCCCCCCUGGGGAGGGGGGAGAUCGGGGGGGCCCCCUACAGCCUGUGGGUGCUGCAGGAGGGCUACAGCCGCCCCCACCCCGACGGCACCCUCCGGGCCGAUGCCACCGUCACCUUGGUGGCCGGGGGGGGCCCCAUCACCGCCCUGGUGGACACGGGGGGGCCCUGGGGGAGGCGAGACCUCCUGGAGAAGCUGGCAGCCCGGGGGGUGGCCCCUGAGGACGUCACCCACCUGGUGUGCACCCACGGCCACUCCGACCACGUGGGCAACCUCAACCUCUUCCCGCUGGCCACCCUGGUGCUGGGCUACGACGUGUGUCACGGGGCCGGCUGCUACGUCCCCAACGAGUUGGCCAAGGGGCAACCUUACGUCCUGGACCCCGGUCACCUGGAGGUGGUGGCCACCCCGGGUCACACCAGGAGCCACGUCAGCCUGGUGGUCCAGGCCACCUCCCUGGGGACGGUGGUGGUGGCCGGGGACUUGUUCGAGAGGGAGGGGGACGAGGGGGAGUGGGAGGCGCUGAGCGAGGACCCCCAGGAGCAGGAGAGGAGCCGGCGGCGAGUGGUGGCCAUGGCCGACGUCAUCGUGCCGGGGCACGGGCCACCUUUCCGCGUCAUCAAGGAGUGGGGAGAGGAGGAGGAGGAGGAAGAAGGAGCCGCCACCCGAGGUGGCCACGAGGGACAUGGGGAUAAGCCCAAGGGUGAUGAAAGCCCUGGAGAUGCCACCAAGCCAUGAGAGAGCCCUUGGGGACAUCAAGAGACUCCUUGGGGACACAAAGAAAAGCCUUGGGGACAUCGAGAGGGUCUCGGGGACAUCAAGAAACUGCUUGGGGACAUCAAGAGAUCCUUUGGGGACACAAAGAAAAGCCUUGAGGACAUCAAGAGGGACCUGGGACAACCCCAAUGGGGAUGGAACCCUUGGACAUGCUACCAAACCAUCAGAAACCCCUUGGGGACAUCAGGAGAGCCCUUGAGACCACCCCUUUGGGGGACAAGAAGACCCUAGAGAUGUCCCCAAGGCAUGAGAGACCCCUUGGGGACAUCAAGAGGAACCUGGGGACAACCCUAAUGGAGGUGGAACCCCUGGAGAUGCCACCAAGGAGCAGGAGGAUGGGGCUGGAGAUGUCCCCAAGUCAUGAGAGACCCCUUGGGGACAUCAAGAGACCUCUUGGGGACAUCAGGAGGGAUUUGGGGACAUCAAGAGGGACGUGGGGACACCCCAAGGGGAGGUGGAACCCCUGGAGAUGCCACCAAACCACGAGAGAUCCCUUGGGGACAUCGAGAGACCCUUUGGGGACAUCAAGAGGGACUUGGGGACACCAAGAAACCCCUUGGAGACAUCGGGAGGGACCUGGGGACACCCCCAAUAGGGAUGGAACCCUUGGAGAUGCCAUUAAACCAUCAGAGAGCCCCUGGGGGCAACAAGAGAGCCCUUGGGGCCACUCCCUUGGGGGACAAGCAGACCUUAGAGAUGUCCCCAAGGCAGAAGGACCUUUGGGGACGUCCCCAGGGAACGGGGGAGGGAUGUGGGGACGAGGAGCCAACAGGAGCUCGGGGACUGGGGGUGGAGGUGGCCGACGUCACUUUGCCACCUCCGUGUCCCCCAGGACGUUGUCCUGGGGCCAGAGCUUGGUGGCACCUGCGGGUUGGUGGUACCUCACGGAGGUGGCACCACCCUGUAAGAACCACCAGUCCCAUCCCAGUUCCUCCCAGUCCCUCCCAGUGGGACACAAGGGCCACCCCCAGGACCGGGGUGGUAUAAAAAGGGGGGGGUUCAAAGUGGGGGGUGACACCGAGGAGGUCUCCAGCCAUGGCUCGGUCCCCGCAGCCCUUGGUGUCCCCGGUGGUGGCCCUGGUGGCCUUACUGGUGGUCCCAGUUUGGGGGUGGGACAAAAGCGUCACCGUCACCACCCUCUCCGUGGACAAUGGGGGGCCCUGGGGGGACUGGGGGGACGUCGAGUUUUGUCCCAAAGGCUCCUACGCCACCGGCUUCCAGCUGAAGGUGGAGCCCCACAGGGGGUUCUUCUGGGACGACACCGGGCUCAACGGGGUGAGGCUGCUCUGCGCCGGGGGGGGGGCCGUCACCUCCAGCGAGGGGC